RNAcentral lists this ribosomal RNA (1095 nucleotides) under Salmonella enterica subsp. enterica serovar Weltevreden. RNAcentral's name for it is "partial 23S ribosomal RNA". It matches the Rfam family "Bacterial large subunit ribosomal RNA", at positions 1182 to 2236 of the family's 2925-position model. Lineage: Bacteria; Pseudomonadati; Pseudomonadota; Gammaproteobacteria; Enterobacterales; Enterobacteriaceae. The record is from RNAcentral.
ACGAUUGACGGAGCGAAGCGACGUCAAAGCGUAUACAAAGUCGAGUUGGCUUAGGGAUACGUUCGUUGGGUAGGGGAGCGUUCUGUAAGCCUGUGAAGGUGGCCUGUGAGGGUUGCUGGAGGUAUCAGAAGUGCGAAUGCUGACAUAAGUAACGAUAAAGCGGGUGAAAAGCCCGCUCGCCGGAAGACCAAGGGUUCCUGUCCAACGUUAAUCGGGGCAGGGUGAGUCGACCCCUAAGGCGAGGCCGAAAGGCGUAGUCGAUGGGAAACGGGUUAAUAUUCCCGUACUUGGUGUUACUGCGAAGGGGGGACGGAGAAGGCUAUGUUGGCCGGGCGACGGUUGUCCCGGUUUAAGCGUGUAGGUGUGUGUUCCAGGUAAAUCCGGUUCACUUUAACACUGAGGCGUGACGACGAGGCACUACGGUGCUGAAGCAACAAAUGCCCUGCUUCCAGGAAAAGCCUCUAAGCAUCAGGUAACAUCAAAUCGUACCCCAAACCGACACAGGUGGUCAGGUAGAGAAUACCAAGGCGCUUGAGAGAACUCGGGUGAAGGAACUAGGCAAAAUGGUGCCGUAACUUCGGGAGAAGGCACGCUGACACGUAGGUGAAGUGAUUUACUCAUGGAGCUGAAGUCAGUCGAAGAUACCAGCUGGCUGCAACUGUUUAUUAAAAACACAGCACUGUGCAAACACGAAAGUGGACGUAUACGGUGUGACGCCUGCCCGGUGCCGGAAGGUUAAUUGAUGGGGUCAGCGCAAGCGAAGCUCCUGAUCGAAGCCCCGGUAAACGGCGGCCGUAACUAUAACGGUCCUAAGGUAGCGAAAUUCCUUGUCGGGUAAGUUCCGACCUGCACGAAUGGCGUAAUGAUGGCCAGGCUGUCUCCACCCGAGACUCAGUGAAAUUGAACUCGCUGUGAAGAUGCAGUGUACCCGCGGCAAGACGGAAAGACCCCGUGAACCUUUACUAUAGCUUGACACUGAACAUUGAGCCUUGAUGUGUAGGAUAGGUGGGAGGCUUUGAAGUGUGGACGCCAGUCUGCAUGGAGCCGACCUUGAAAUACCACCCUUUAAUGUUUGAUGUUCUAACGUGGACCCGU